CUGGGACAUCAUUAAUGUUAUGUCUGACGCCCUUGUGAUUCCUGCUGUGGCAAGUCACACGUGCCAGGACUGUGUGGAAGUUCAGUACAUUUAGUAAGGCACUGUUCAGGUACAUCUUUAAGCUUCCCAUGGAUCCCAACAGCAACAGCUGGACACGUGUCCUCCCGGGGGAGCCCUGUUGUGCAUCAGGAUUGGCAUCUCGCACAUGGGCUGAGUAAAGCAGAUCAAUCCUGCCAACGCUGGAGACCUCAGAGGGCCCGAUGUUUCUGCUGCACCCCGGACCUGCUGCCCCACCUGUCCAGCGGUGGGUCAAGGACGGACCACGGACCCCUGUCUUUCUGCUCCAAGCUCCAACCCCCCAGAGCCAUCGCCUGCAUCACAACACAGCCAUUCAGACACUUUGGUGACACAUGCAUGUGCACACACGCAGUGAGUAUGAGUAAACCAAGUGUGUUUGUAUGUGCACAUGAAUGUGUUUACCAUGUGUGUACACGCGAGUGUAUAUGUUAAAGAGAACAGCACGGCCUCAGUGGCUUCCUUUGACCACGGUCACGCGUCAUGGAGGUUGCACAGAACCUUCGUUGUAGAGCUCUUUCGUGUUUUCAGCAUAAGUCUCUGGAGAACAACCCAAAACAUGACCUCUUUCUUCUGACAGUUGAGUGUGUGUCUGUGUUUGAUUGAUUGUCCAUGUUCUUUAUGAGAGUGAAUGCUCCUUUAAAGCAGCAAAACCCUAAAAGCUUUCUGUCAUAUGAUGUCUGUAUAUCAGUUUGCAAGAAAUGUAGAUUAGAGAAACUGCUUAUGUAAGUAUUUUGAUUCUGAGUUCAAAGAUGUGGCUUCUUACUCCAACGCUCAUUUCUUUUGAAUCAGGUCUUGCCGCUGCAUCUAAAAUCUUCAUAGUCAAUCAAAGUCUUCAUCCUACAUAGAAUCCUUUUAAAUUCUGUCUUUUUAUAUUGCUUUGUGUUCCUUUCAUAUCGUUUCUUGCUUUUAUUAUGCAGAGCCCUUUGAAUUGCCUUGCUGUUCAAA
This is a long non-coding RNA of Micropterus salmoides (largemouth bass), 1023 nucleotides long. RefSeq lists it as uncharacterized. The transcript is spliced from 4 exons. Lineage: Eukaryota; Metazoa; Chordata; Actinopteri; Centrarchiformes; Centrarchidae. The record is from RefSeq and is a predicted model, not a curated record.